This is a long non-coding RNA of Leptopilina heterotoma, 730 nucleotides long. RefSeq lists it as uncharacterized. The transcript is spliced from 3 exons. NCBI's taxonomy places the organism in Eukaryota, Metazoa, Arthropoda, Insecta, Hymenoptera, Figitidae. The record is from RefSeq and is a predicted model, not a curated record.
UCCAAGGAGACUGAAAAUAUUCUUUAAAUCUCACUGUUGAAUCUAAACAGAAGCUGGAGCACCUGUUCGCCAACUCAACUAAAGAGUGAGGUUGAAUCGUUCUCAUUGGAGUUCAGUACACUGUGCACACUCAAACUGAUAAGACACGUUUUAUUCGCUAAUCAAGACGAAUUUUUUUUUUCCCCAGUCGAGCAAGUAACACGUGACAAUUGUCAAUCUCAUCGAAUAUUCCCAACUCCAGUGUUAAAUUGUAAUUUUUUAUGCUUUUUCCUGCUCGGAGUGAAAAUUUGUUAAUCCUUUAAUUCGUGGGUUUAAUCAAGUGCGAAAGACAAUUUUUCUGGAUAUUUCCCUUUCGAGUUAGAUUCUGAAUCUGAAUUGAUUCGAAUUUUCAAAAGAGUAAAACGAAACGAUCGUUAUAAAAAAGAUGCUGGAGAGAAGAUUAAGGAUCAAAUGUCGAUUUAUCAAAUUAUCGAAAGAGUAACGAUCACAUUAGACAGAGAAUUAUUUUAUGGAAUUUUUCUAUAUCAGAAACGAAUGAACGAAAUUUUUUUUGAGAUUUUGCAUCUGAAAAGAAGAAAUUAGAAGAAAUUAGCAAACAAUAGUUAAUAAAAGGAAAAUCUAUUAAAACAAGAAGAAAGGAUAAAUUAUGCUAACAGAUGAAGGAAAAAUUAUUUAGAGACAAGAAAAUAGAGAAAAAAGUAAAAAAUAAAGGAAGAAAGUAAAAAACUGA